AGCUCCAAUAGCGUAUAUUAAUGUUGUUGCAGUUAAAAAGCUCGUAGUUGGAUUUCUGGUGGGAGCGUCCGGUCCGCCGUAAGGUGUGUACUUGGUUGUCUCCUGUCAUCCUUGUGGGAACUGCUCUGGCAUUAAGUUGUCGGGGUUAGGGAACACAUCGUUUACUGUGAAAAAAUUAGAGUGUUUAAAGCAGGCUUAUGCCGUUGAAUACAUUAGCAUGGAAUAAUAAGAUAGGACUUUGGCGUCUAUUUUGUUGGUUUGCACACCAAGGUAAUGAUUAAUAGGGAUAGUUGGGGGUAUUCGUAUUUAAUUGUCAGAGGUGAAAUUCUUGGAUUUAUGAAAGACGAACUUCUGCGAAAGCAUUUACCAAAGAUGUUUUCAUUAAUCAAGAACGAAAGUA
Molecule: ribosomal RNA, 400 nt
Filed under: phytoplankton environmental sample
Lineage: Eukaryota
Description: partial small subunit ribosomal RNA
Rfam family: Eukaryotic small subunit ribosomal RNA
Source: RNAcentral